AACGAACGCUGGCGGCAUGCCUAACACAUGCAAGUCGAACGAGACCUUCGGGUCGAGUGGCGCACGGGUGCGUAACGCGUGGGAACCUGCCCUUAGGUUCGGAAUAACUCCCCGACAGGGGUGCUAAUACCGGAUAAUGUCUUCGGACCAAAGAUUUAUCGCCUUUGGAUGGGCCCGCGUUGGAUUAGCUAGUUGGUAGGGUAAAAGCCUACCAAGGCGACGAUCCAUAGCUGGUCUGAGAGGAUGAUCAGCCACACUGGGACUGAGACACGGCCCAGACUCCUACGGGAGGCAGCAGUGGGGAAUAGUGGACAAUGGGCGAAAGCCUGAUCCAGCAAUGCCGCGUGAGUGAUGAAGGCCUUAGGGUUGUAAAGCUCUUUUACCCGGGAUGAUAAUGACAGUACCGGGAGAAUAAGCUCCGGCUAACUCCGUG
This 433-nucleotide ribosomal RNA is filed under the name uncultured bacterium. RNAcentral's name for it is "partial 16S ribosomal RNA". It matches the Rfam family "Bacterial small subunit ribosomal RNA", at positions 29 to 507 of the family's 1533-position model. The record is from RNAcentral.